UCGGGAAUUUUGGGCAAUGGGCGAAAGCCUGACCCAGCAACGCCGCGUGAAGGAUGAAGUAUUUCGGUAUGUAAACUUCGUAAGAAUAGGAAGAAUAAAUGACGGUACUAUUUGUAAGGUCCGGCUAACUACGUGCCAGCAGCCGCGGUAAUACGUAGGGACCAAGCGUUGUUCGGAUUUACUGGGCGUAAAGGGCGCGUAGGCGGUUUGUCAAGUCAGUUGUGAAAUCUCCGAGCUUAACUCGGAACGGUCAACUGAUACUGUCAAACUAGAGUACAGAAGGGGCAAUCGGAAUUCUUGGUGUAGCGGUGAAAUGCGUAGAUAUCAAGAGGAACACCUGAGGCGAAGGCGGGUUGCUGGGCUGAUACUGACGCUGAAGCGCGAAAGCUAGGGUAGCAAACGGGAUUAGAUACCCAGUAGUCCCUGAGCGGGCUGGCAAGGCGCAU
This 446-nucleotide ribosomal RNA is filed under the name uncultured bacterium. Its description in RNAcentral is "bacterial SSU rRNA". It matches the Rfam family "Bacterial small subunit ribosomal RNA", at positions 355 to 825 of the family's 1533-position model. The record is from RNAcentral.